CGGUUGAUCCUGCCGGAGGUUACUGCUAUCGAGGUCCGACUAAGCCAUGCGAGUCGAAUGUAGCAAUACAUGGCGUACUGCUCAGUAACACGUGGACAACCUACCCUCAGCACGGGGAUAAACCCGGGAAACUGGGUAUAAUACCCGAUAGUUCUGGUAUGCUGGAAUGCUAUCAGGACGAAAGCUCCGGCGACUGAGGAUGGGUCUGCGGCCUAUCAGGUAGUAGUGGGUGUAAUGUACCUACUAGCCUACGAUGGGUACGGGUCGUGAGAGCGAGAGCCCGGAGAUGGAUUCUGAGACACGAAUCCAGGCCCUACGGGGUGCAGCAGGCGCGAAAACUUUACAAUGCUGGCAACAGCGAUAAGGGGACCUCGAGUGCCAGGAUACAAUCUUGGCUGUCGUAAUGCCUAAAAAGCAUUGCAUAGCAAGGGCCGGGCAAGACCGGUGCCAGCCGCCGCGGUAACACCGGCGGCUCGAGUGGUAACCGCUAUUAUUGGGUCUAAAGGGUCUGUAGCCGGCCGGAUAAGUCUCUUGGGAAAUCCAGCAGCUCAACUGUUGGGCUUUCAGGAGAUACUGUUUCGGCUCGAGGCCGGGAGAGGUGAGAGGUACUUCAGGGGUAGGGGUGAAAUCUCGUAAUCCUUGGGGGACCACCGAUGGCGAAGGCAUCCCACCAGAACGGGUCCGACGGUGAGGGACGAAAGCUGGGGGAGCGAACCGGAUUAGAUACCCGGGUAGUCCCAGCUGUAAACGAUGCUGGCUAGGUGUUGGAGCGGCUACGAGCCGCUUCAGUGCCGCAGGGAAGCCAUUAAGCCAGCCGCCUGGGGAGUACGGCCGCAAGGCUGAAACUUAAAGGAAUUGGCGGGGGAGCACCACAAGGGGUGAAGCUUGCGGUUUAAUUGGAGUCAACGCCGGGAACCUUACCGGGCGCGACAGCAGGAUGAAAGCCAGAUUGAAGGUCUUGCUGGACGAGCUGAGAGGAGGUGCAUGGCCGUCGCCAGUUCGUGCCGUGAGGUGUCCUGUUAAGUCAGGCAACGAUCGAGACCCACGCCCCCUGUUGCCACCGAGGAGUUUUCCAAGGGGCACUCUGGGGGAACUGCCAACGAUAAGUUGGAGGAAGGGGUGGGCUACGGCAGGUCAGUAUGCCCCGAAUCCCCCGGGCCACACGCGAGCUGCAAUGGCUGGGACAGUGGGUUCCGACCCCGAGAGGGGGAGGUAAUCCCGAAACCCGGCCUCAGUUGGGAUCGAGGGCUGUAACCCGCCCUCGUGAACAUGGAAUCCCUAGUAAUCGCGCGUCAUCAGCGCGCGGUGAAUACGUCCCUGCUCCUUGCACACACCGCCCGUCGUUCCACUCGAGUGGGUUUAGGAUGGGGCGUGGUCUUUUGUGGCUGUGUCGAAUCCUAGGUUCGCGAGAGGGGAAAAGUCGUAACAAGGUAGCC
RNAcentral lists this ribosomal RNA (1436 nucleotides) under uncultured archaeon. Its description in RNAcentral is "bacterial SSU rRNA". It matches the Rfam family "Archaeal small subunit ribosomal RNA". The record is from RNAcentral.